This 590-nucleotide ribosomal RNA is filed under the name uncultured soil bacterium C0196. Its description in RNAcentral is "partial 16S ribosomal RNA". It matches the Rfam family "Bacterial small subunit ribosomal RNA", at positions 108 to 697 of the family's 1533-position model. The record is from RNAcentral.
GNGUAAAGNACAUNCAACUAACUGUAAGCGGGGAUAGCCCGUNGAAAGANGGAUUAAUAACCCUUNGAGAUGAGUGGAUGGCAUCAUUUAAUUCUUAAACAUUUAUGGUUUAACAGAUGGGCAUGCNUANGAUUAGAUAGUUGGUGAGNUAGCAGCUCACCAAGGCAAUNAUNUUUAGGGUUCUGAGAGGAAGAUCCCCCACACNGGUACUGAGAUACGGACCAGAGUCUNACGGGAGGCAGCANUAGGGAAUAUUGGGCAAUGGAGGCAACUNCGACNCAGCNAUACCGCGUGCAGGAAGAAGGCNUUUUGGGUUGUAAAACCCUUUUGGAAGGGAACGAAANGGCUGUGCGNCGCAAUUUGAGUGUACCUUCAGAAUAAGCACCGGCUAACUNCGUGCCAGCAGCCGCGGUAAUACGGAGGGUGCAAGCGUUGUCCGGAUUUAUUGGGUUUACAGGGUGCGUAGGCGGCUUAUUAAGUCCANGGGUGAAANAUUGCAGCUCAACCGUAGCAGUGCCUUUGAUUCUGAUGAGCUUGAGUACAGAUGAGGCCGGCGGAAUNGGUGGUGUAGCGGUGAAAUGCAUAGAUAC